AAUAGAUACCCCGGUAGUCCACGCCGUAAACGAUGGAUGCUGGCCGUCGGCAAGCUUGCUUGUCGGUGGCGCAGCUAACGCAUUAAGCAUCCCGCCUGGGGAGUACGGCCGCAAGGUUAAAACUCAAAGGAAGUUGACGGGGGCCCGCACAAGCGGUGGAGCAUGUGGUUUAAUUCGACGCAACGCGAAGAACCUUACCAGCUCUUGACAUGUCAGGUCGGUUUCCAGAGAUGGAUUCCUCCCAGCAAUGGGCCUGAACACAGGUGCUGCAUGGCUGUCGUCAGCUCGUGUCGUGAGAUGUUGGGUUAAGUCCCGCAACGAGCGCAACCCUGCCAUUAGUUGCCAUCAUUAAGUUGGGCACUCUAGUGGGGACUGCCGGUGAUAAGCCGGAGGAAGUGGGAUGACGUCAAGUCAUCAUGGCCCUUAGGGCUGGGCUACACACGUGCUACAAUGGCGGUGACAGUGGGCAGCAAACCAGCAAUGGUNAGCUAAGUCUCAAAAAGCCGUCUC
RNAcentral lists this ribosomal RNA (510 nucleotides) under uncultured bacterium. Its description in RNAcentral is "bacterial SSU rRNA". It matches the Rfam family "Bacterial small subunit ribosomal RNA", at positions 777 to 1289 of the family's 1533-position model. The record is from RNAcentral.